AUGCACGCUGGCGGUAUGCUUAACACAUGCAAGUCGAACGGACUCUUCGGAGUUAGUGGCGGACGGGUGAGUAACGCGUGAGAAUCUGGCUUUGGGUUCGGGACAACCACUGGAAACGGUGGCUAAUACCGGAUGUGCCGAGAGGUAAAAGAGAAAUUGCCUGAAGAUGAGCUCGCGUCUGAUUAGCUAGUUGGUGAGGUAAAGGCUCACCAAGGCAGCGAUCAGUAGCUGGUCUGAGAGGAUGACCAGCCACACUGGGACUGAGACACGGCCCAGACUCCUACGGGAGGCAGCAGUGGGGAAUUUUCCGCAAUGGGCGAAAGCCUGACGGAGCGAUACCGCGUGAGGGAAGAAGGCUCUUGGGUUGUAAACCUCUUUUCUUAGGGAAGAACAAAAUGACGGUACCUAAGGAAUCAGCAUCGGCUAACUCCGUG
RNAcentral lists this ribosomal RNA (434 nucleotides) under uncultured bacterium. RNAcentral's name for it is "partial 16S ribosomal RNA". It matches the Rfam family "Bacterial small subunit ribosomal RNA", at positions 29 to 507 of the family's 1533-position model. The record is from RNAcentral.